Molecule: transfer RNA, 85 nt
Filed under: Felis catus (domestic cat)
Lineage: Eukaryota; Metazoa; Chordata; Mammalia; Carnivora; Felidae
Rfam family: tRNA
About the family: Transfer RNA (tRNA) molecules are approximately 80 nucleotides in length. Their secondary structure includes four short double-helical elements and three loops (D, anti-codon, and T loops). Further hydrogen bonds mediate the characteristic L-shaped molecular structure. tRNAs have two regions of fundamental functional importance: the anti-codon, which is responsible for specific mRNA codon recognition, and the 3' end, to which the tRNAs corresponding amino acid is attached (by aminoacyl-tRNA synthetases). tRNAs cope with the degeneracy of the genetic code in two manners: having more than one tRNA (with a specific anti-codon) for a particular amino acid; and 'wobble' base-pairing, i.e. permitting non-standard base-pairing at the 3rd anti-codon position.
Source: Rfam by way of RNAcentral
GCCUGGGUGGCUCAGUCGGUUAAGCAUCUGACUUUGGCUCAGGUCAUGAUCUCACAGUUCGUGGGUUCGAGCCCCGCGUCAGGCU